Molecule: microRNA precursor, 65 nt
Filed under: Sarcophilus harrisii (Tasmanian devil)
Lineage: Eukaryota; Metazoa; Chordata; Mammalia; Dasyuromorphia; Dasyuridae
Also listed under: 1 other name
Description: Sha-Mir-96-P2_pre stem-loop
Rfam family: mir-182 microRNA precursor family
Source: RNAcentral
UUUGGCAAUGGUAGAACUCACACUGGUGAGAUAACAGAAUCCGGUGGUUCUAGACUUGCCAACUA